GGGAAUUUGGCCUUUUAACCAAUUAACGAUCAAUUAUUUAUCAACAUUAUCUCCUCAGUUCACGCUUUGACGUUAACUCCAGAUAAUGAAAUGCAAUCAACCUUAAAACCAAACAAUUGUGCUAACCUUUGCAUCGAUCUUCCUAAGUUCGAUCGACAGCCAAUCUGCAUGAUGUACAGCAGAUAUAAGAAAGCGUACAUUUACUACGUAAACGAGUGUCACGCUAGGAGAGCUAUUUGCAAUGAAAAUCUUGUGCUCCAUCAAGUACACCUUAGGCGAUGUAUGAAAAGCCGAAAUUUUUUUAUGCCUCUUAGCUAUUAGCGUUUUUGAGAGGUAGCGAUAAUACUAUUUGUUUGCUGCUUUCUAGUCGAUCCAAAAUAAUUAUAUUUUAAUGGGUCGUUAAUUAAAUACAAAAAUCAGAACCACUAUAUACUCAUACUGCCAUUUUCAUACUUUGUUUCAUUUUGAUAUACCAUUAUAAAGAAGAUUUUAUUAAACCAGGACUUGUUUUAUCGUUUUGUUUUUAUCAAGCUUAUUAAAUGAAUUUAGACUGAAA
This is a long non-coding RNA of Bombyx mori (domestic silkworm), 556 nucleotides long. RefSeq lists it as uncharacterized. The record is from RefSeq and is a predicted model, not a curated record. The transcript has 2 exons. NCBI's taxonomy places the organism in Eukaryota, Metazoa, Arthropoda, Insecta, Lepidoptera, Bombycidae.